AACCAUAAAAGAAAUCAGGUAGGAUGAUAGCACAAGGUUAGAUGAAAAUGAUGAGAGAAGAGCAAAGUAACAAAAGAGCAGGAAAUGCAGAGAAAGAUAAUAAGUUAACAGCAACUCUCUUGAGGUCAUAAGGCAUAGAAAGUCACAGAAGACUUUGAACAGAAAAGAGAGUGACUUUAGGAAGUUGCAUCUGGAAGCCAUCAACUGAAUGGAUUGCAACGAGAGCGAGAUGAAGGCAGACUUCUUCACUAACUCUUCACUCCCCUUGAUUUCUUCAUGAGCCACCGCCACUGAGAAACACCAUCAGUACUUCACAGGUGCAGAACAUGGAUUUUUGCCUACAAGUACUGCAGUCAAUCAAUCAAUAAAUUACCAACCAUAAAAUGGAGGCUCCUGAGUACAGUAUUUUCUUUGCCUUAGGUGGCUCACAGGAUAUAUGCCAGUAUACAGAAGAGAAACUUUUACUGGACCACAAGAACAUCUAAGCCAGAUCUGAGUUCACUACCAUAGAAUUUGCGUGUGCCUUUUUGCCCUUUGUCUAUGCUCUUUGGUCAAGCAUCACAUCAAAUCUUUUGCCCAUUUUCUGAAUUAU
Mustela erminea (ermine) is the source of this 592-nucleotide long non-coding RNA. RefSeq lists it as uncharacterized. The transcript is spliced from 4 exons. The record is from RefSeq and is a predicted model, not a curated record. NCBI's taxonomy places the organism in Eukaryota, Metazoa, Chordata, Mammalia, Carnivora, Mustelidae.